UUGAGUCGUGACUUUUCCGCUGUCAAACUCAAAAUCUCUCCACUCUCCAAUCGUGCCGUCGCCUCCAGCAGCCAGCUUCGGCCCGGCGACCCUCCUUGCCGUCAGAGAGAGAGAGCUCAGCCCGUCGUCCCUCAAUCCUCACGCAAUCACGCUUCACGUCGUCGACCCUCUUCGUCUUCACGCCUCUUCGUCUUCACGGCUCCAUCUCCAGGUGUUGCAUUGAUGUCUACUCAAGAUUCAACAAAUUACUGAAUCUCUAUUAUUUGUUGAAACUUGGAAGAUAUUGAAGAUUUGUCAUGGAACUUUAUUUAGGAUUUAUUGAUGUAAUAUGUUUAAACUAUUGAAGAUUUAGAGUAGAUUUAUUUUGGUUGAUAUUUGUUAUUGUGGUAUGUGGAUUGAAUAUUUGUUUUUUUGUUGGUAAUGGAUCAUGAAUAUAAUCAUGCUAUGGUAUCGUUUGUACUUUAAAAGUUGUAACUUUGUAGUUUGUAUGCUUUUUUUUUCAUGUUUUUCGGUUUUUUGUUUU
Salvia hispanica is the source of this 523-nucleotide long non-coding RNA. RefSeq lists it as uncharacterized. The record is from RefSeq and is a predicted model, not a curated record. NCBI's taxonomy places the organism in Eukaryota, Viridiplantae, Streptophyta, Magnoliopsida, Lamiales, Lamiaceae.